Long non-coding RNA from Acanthaster planci (crown-of-thorns starfish), 2929 nucleotides. RefSeq lists it as uncharacterized. The record is from RefSeq and is a predicted model, not a curated record. NCBI's taxonomy places the organism in Eukaryota, Metazoa, Echinodermata, Asteroidea, Valvatida, Acanthasteridae.
CACACAUCUGCCAAAAGGGCAUCGUUGCGGUGUCGAUUCGCUACUCCAAAUAAGAAAAGUCGUCUCCGUUGGUCAAGAAAAGUAGCAGUAUAAAACGAGAUGUGUCUAUCCUGGGGUGUCCUACUGGCUGCUUGUUUGGCCCUCCUGACCGCGGAGACCCAGCGACCGGUGCACGCUCAGGGCGUGGAGGUCAACGGCAAGAUCUGUACUCGGACGGUGCUGCCAGCGUACUUGAGGGCGCCUUGCGACGAGUACCAUCGCACUCAGCAGGGAAUGCCCGAGCUUGAAUCUGCACCAAGGCGACCACCCAGUGAUCCACUCCGCAUCCGCGGCUGAAACAAGCCAUCACGCCCGGGACAGACCACAGCUGAAUAUGACAGUCAACGAUACCUGUCGGAGUCUGCACUCUGUCCUUGGGUUACGCGAUAUUCUGCACGUCAAGCUUAACAGUAAACAAGCUUUUAAAAUGUAACAAACAACAGACAAACAAACUUCCGAAGUCGUAGUAAGGUAUAAUUAUUUUAUAAAGCAAGUUUUAUAAAGCAAUCAAAUUUGUACUUCAAACUGGAACAACAUUUUGAAAGUUCCCGUCUGAAUUUUCGGUAAAAAGGUUUUGCAAGAUAUCUAACUGUUGAGGUCUUUAUAUUAAACUUUUGCAGGAUUCAAAGCACUCUCGGAGGCAACUAAUAUCUUAUGAAUAAAAAACAGCCUUGGCAGCCGGUAAUUGUUUUAAAAACUUUACCCUCUAAAUCCUACAGAUUAAAAACUAGGGACUGGACGAUUUAAGGUGGAAAUUACUCUGAAUUUAGAUUUAAAAAGUUGAGCAAAGAACACCUUCCAUUAGAAACUGAAGUGAAAUAUCAAGGUGUUUGUUUUAUUAACCCGAAAUCGUCUUGUCCCUAGUUUCAAUCAGAGGGAGCGAAUUUCGUUACUCAUCAGAAUCUAGAGAGUAAAGGUCAGUGUGUAUAAAUAUAUGUACAGGAAUGUUGAAGCAAAUAUGAUUAGAAUCGAAUGGAUUUAAAAAAUCUUUGUUUUGGAAGCAGAAUAUAUUUCUGCACUAGACAUCUUUUGUUAUAUUAUCCUUUUUUUAACUAAGAUUCAUCGUUCUCUCGUCGGCUUCGGGCCACCAAAAUGGCACACAUUAAACUUUCUCCUCGUAAUUGGUUUCUGAGCAAUGGCCUUUAAGAGUGAAACCUAGAAAUACUUGUCGGAAAGUUAAGAAGUAAACUGUUGACUGGGGAAAACGAGCUUAUAAUUGGGAAUGACAUUGCUACAUAAGAAGCAGAAUCAUUGCUUCUAACGACUUUUAUAGUAGAGGGUUUACCCUCAAGAAGAAGUUGUGGAAGCCAUUUUGUUUAACUUUUCAUUCAAAUGACGUAACACAGCGCCCAAGGAGGGGUCUUGGGGGCCAACGGGGGCCAUGCCCCCCCCCCCAAAAAAAAAACCUAUGAAUUUUUCCUUAUCAAAGUGAAGAUGUCAAGUGUCUUAAUUGGAGGUUGUUUUGAAAAGAAAGGGCCAUUUUGUUCAGGGAAUCGUUUCUGAGCAGCUGCUGAAUCGUGACUGGUGCGAUCAGUUAAUGCGAAAGCGCAUCAGUGACGCUGCAUAUUUGUCCCACCCCCAAACAAAGAGUAUGGACCCACCCAUGACAGCGUCCUUUGCCGUGACGUCUUACCAGUUGUCGUCGGUCAUUAUGACCGAAUGGAAACCAUAGGCAGCGUCCAUGCAUGCUACCGGGGAUGUGGCUGAGCGCAUAGUCGUCAAUGAGAGGCCCCAUGGUCUCGUAUAGCAUGGACCUCUUGCAAACCUGGACUCUGCCGUCCAUGCACGAAGUUCAUCCAUUCGGACCAGGAUGAAAUUUGACUGCCGAACAAAUAAUUCCCACACACUUUUGCUACUGCACUUGCUGUGUUUAAAAGCGGCUCGUUAUCUUGCAAUUCACCCCUUGUCUCUUUUUGGCGUCUCUAAUGAGUCGCUAGUUAUAACAACACACCAGUGCAUAACUGAUUUAGCCCCCUUGACCAGCCCCCUUGGCGACCAGCUGCACCUCCGAUGAAAACCAUAUUCAUGUACCCACCCCCCAUGCCCGAUGCUGGUGACGGGGCUGACGGGACAUUGUGCUUAAUAAUCAAGGCCGUUUAUUUGCUAAGCAAGACCAAUUCCAAUGUGAAGUGUGUAUAAUGAUAGAUACUGAGAUAAUUGAAGUGUUUAAUGCCAAUCCCUGCUCCGAUCUUACUGUGACAAAAUAAUGGCAUGAUUUGGAGGCCGUGUUUAACUUCUAGGGCCGUGUUUUACUUCUAGUAAGUCAACACUGUCCCUAGUCCAAAUGUGAGGAUGCACUUACGUGCACCUCAGUUGUAAUUGAUACCUAAUUGGCCUUGGAGAAGUCGUUAUUUCUCCACAAAUAAUGAAAUUUUCAACAAACCCUUGGCUGCUCGUACAGAAAAUGCAUUUGAACCUGGAAAUUUACGAUCAAGGCAACACAGAAUUAUUCGACGAUUAGCAUGCACAAUUGCGACCGAAGAGGAAGGAUUGCUGCAACACAAUGUUAACAUUGUUCUUAAACAACUGCAAAGCUUCAAAGCAAAAAAAGAAAGUUUGAGAACACAGUCUGAUGGCCUGCUUUGUAAUUUGUUAGUCUUUUUUCUGAAUUGCGCAGUGAAAAAUCAAUCAUGAAAUAGAUUAACCCGCUACCCUUUUUGACCUAACCACUGUUACGAGGCCAUUAUGCAUAAAUAUCUAAUCUGAUUAGUGAGAUAAUUCCAGCUGGGUAGUGUACAUGCGUCCACAUCUUAUCUCAUUUUUAACCAUAGGCGUACACUGAACAUGUCACCUUUGUACCCAAAUUUUGUGCUUUAAUUACUGUUCAUACAAAUGGACGGAUGGUAAAAGAAAGCCAUAUUGAAUUAAACAUCCAACAUUGUGGAAUCGA